AGUGAACGCUGGCGGUAGGCCUAACACAUGCAAGUCGAACGGCAGCACAGUAAGAGCUUGCUCUUACGGGUGGCGAGUGGCGGACGGGUGAGGAAUACAUCGGAAUCUACCUUUUCGUGGGGGAUAACGUAGGGAAACUUACGCUAAUACCGCAUACGACCUACGGGUGAAAGCAGGGGAUCUUCGGACCUUGCGCGAUUGAAUGAGCCGAUGUCGGAUUAGCUAGUUGGCGGGGUAAAGGCCCACCAAGGCGACGAUCCGUAGCUGGUCUGAGGAUGAUCAGCCACACUGGAACUGAGACACGGUCCAGACUCCUACGGGAGGCAGCAGUGGGGAAUAUUGGACAAUGGGCGCAAGCCUGAUCCAGCCAUACCGCGUGGGUGAAGAAGGCCUUCGGGUUGUAAAGCCCUUUUGUUGGGAAAGAAAAGCAGCAGGUUAAUACCCCGCUGUUCUGACGGUACCCAAAGAAUAAGCACCGGCUAACUUCGUG
RNAcentral lists this ribosomal RNA (490 nucleotides) under uncultured bacterium. RNAcentral describes it as "partial 16S ribosomal RNA". It matches the Rfam family "Bacterial small subunit ribosomal RNA", at positions 29 to 507 of the family's 1533-position model. The record is from RNAcentral.